RNAcentral lists this unclassified non-coding RNA (3878 nucleotides) under Hevea brasiliensis (rubber tree). Lineage: Eukaryota; Viridiplantae; Streptophyta; Magnoliopsida; Malpighiales; Euphorbiaceae. The record is from RNAcentral.
UGAUAAUAGUACCUGAUUGUAAAAGGCUAGCAUAUCUGGUUAACACACUCCAUUUUUGCUUUCUGUGACUUUUUUCCUUUUCCAGGUUCAGCUACAUUAUUGUGUACAACAUUGCUUUCCCUAGCAUGGAGUCUUAACUCAGAACUAGUUGCUCCAAAAGAUUCUAGCCACAGUUACUAAUUACUAAACAAUUUUAGUAUUAUUUCAUAGGCCUUUACUACUGAAAUACAUUGGGAUCAAAAGGAUUUUACGAAAUACUAAUAAAUGAUGCUGGAUCUGGAGGAAUAGGGACAUGAACAGCUCCUUCUAGCAUAAGAACGACUUUCUUCAUUGCAGGUCUUAGGGUUGGAUCCUCCUGAAUGCACCAGAUUGCGACCAUCACAAACUUUUCUACCCUCUUCAUAUCACUCAUUGCCUCCUCAUCAUCUUCCACUAACAGAUUCACUUUCCCUUCUUUAUAGCAAUCAUAUGCCCAAUCUGCAAGUAUCAUCACAUUUUCUUCCUUCAAAUCCAUCUCAAAGUUCCUUCUACAACAAAUGAGCUCUAGCAGCAAAAUGCCAAAGCUGUACACAUCUGCUUUCACUGUGAUUGGCUGGUUCUUGUGCCAUUCCGGGGCAACAUAUCCCCUCGUUCCUCUCAUGAUGUCAGUUAUUGUCCUGCUUUGGUCCGGCAUCAACAACUUUGCGAGUCCAAAAUCUGAAAUUUUUGCAUGCAUGUGUUCAUCCAUUAGUAUGUUGUUAGGAUUUAUGUCACAGUGGAUGAUUUGAGCCUCACAUUCCUCAUGCAGAUAAAGGAUCCCUCUGGCUAUCUCUAAAGCAAUUCGAAUUCUGUCUCCCCAACUAGGUUUUGUUCCUGAUUUUAUCAGAAACUGUGUAAGUGAUCCAUUUCUCAUGUAUUCGUAAACUAGAAGCCUGUUGGUUUUGUCAUGGCAGUAACCAAGCAAGCGUACGAGAUUUCUGUGGUGAGUUCUACCGAUUGAUCUCAUCUCAUUCAGAAAUUCAGGCUCUCCUUCGGACUCCAUUUUCUCCAAUCUUUUAACAGCAAUUGCCGUCUGCCCAUUUGACAAGGCUCCUUUGAAAACUGUCCCAAAAGCUCCCCUUCCUAACCUCUCAUUGAAGCCAUUGGUCGCUCUUUCAAGUUCUUCAUAGGUAAAUGAUCUCAAUGUGACAUCUGAUGCCAAUUCUGUAUCUGGUUCAUUAUGGGUGGCUUUAUAUUCUGAAGCACGGUGUCUAAAAAUAAGAACACCAGAUGUUGCAAGGACUAGGAAGGAAAAAGUUAAACAAGCAACACCACCUAUUAAGAUGCCAGUUGACGGCUGCUUGCUUUCUGUAGGGAUGGUUGUUAAGCCUCCAUCCCCUACUUUCAUCAAGGCUACAGUACUCUCGCCGUCUAGAUCUCUCUUCCCAAAUCUCAGUGGAAGCUUUUGUUUCUUGCACAUCUGGUCUUGAAACAGAGCAGCUUCACAGUUGCAGUCCAUUAAACAAGCCCGGUUACAGUCUUCUUUUGCUGCCGACGAUAAAACAGAAUAUGCAUUAUCUUCCCACACAAUGUUUUCCAAUUCGUAAAUGGUAUACUUCGUAUUUUCAUUAUUGAAAAGACAAUUCUCUACAAGAAAAUUUCUGUUGCAUCCCAUAUUUUUCUGCUUCUGAUCGAUGUAGACAAAACCUUGAGGACAAUUGCAAACAGGUUCUUCAUCCAAGAGAAUACAAUAUGCAUUAAUGCCGCAGACGCCUUUCGGAUCGCACCUGUCAUUUGGCACUGACCAUUCGAUUGACCAAUUACCAUUCUGAUUCAUGUUAUGAGUAUACAAGCGGAGUAUCCCAUCAGCAUCUAUUGUCAGGCGGUAUGUCUUCCCAUCAGCAGGAUUUCCACCAUCGGUAAUGUUCUUCGCGUUGACCCUACUGCGAUUGAGCAUGUACAGGAGUCCAUUUUCACUGAGCGUUAAUGCGGCAUUAUCUCCUAGGAAAUUUGUAUCUGUUGAGCGAUUGCUUUCCGAGAUACCAGAGACCAGCUCAUUACCAGACCGCAGGAGCUGUCCUGGCAAAAGGGUGUCUGUUUGGUGAUCAAAACUUUGCCAUAUGAUUCUCGAAUCAGCAUCGUAGAGGACGAAGUUGCCAGAAUCUAGAAUGGAAGCAUAGGAUGCCCGCAUUGAUGCAUUCCCAAUGGAUAUGGCUUGACCUCCAAUGACUUGCAGGACAAGCCUACCAUCACUGGUUAAAGCCAAGGUUGCAUUGCGGGAGAUUGGAGGGCCAUCUCUGUUUGCUGUCCAUGUGACAGUCUUUUGUGGAAUUCCAGCAAACCACGUACCUAUACCAAAGCCAUUGCCUUGGGAGAAGAAUCCGAAGGCAAAACGACCUGAAUGUGAGAGCCAGGAUGAGUUGCUGCCAGCGGGAGAAAGAGAAGAUCCCAGGCUAAUAUUGGAUUGUUGAGCUGUAGCAGUCACAGGUGCAGAGAAGAUAAGAAAGAAUAGUUGAUGCCAUCAUUUUGCUACGUUACCACUUACCAUUUGCUAAAGAAAAUGUAUUAAUAACAUUUUCAGGCUUCCCUUCUAGAAAUCAAAAAAUUAUUUCAAAGAUACGACAGAAAUUUAAUUUCAACAUAAAAGUUAAAUUGAAAAUAUUUCAUAACAAGUAUAAAAGAACAUUUCAAAUCAAAGUAUAAAGAAAAAAAAAACAUUUUAAAGAAUUUUAGCUUGCAUUAUAUUAAAUUUUGGAAUCGAAGAGAUUUUUUUUAAUCAGAUCAUGUCUCUCAGAUUUAAAUUUGUAUGAAAAAGAAUCAAACAAAUAAAGAAAAUUUCAUCAAUGCAUUUUGUAAUUUUCAUUUCAAAAUUACAUCCAAUGAGUAAUUUAAUUUUCAUUUCAAAAAAAAAAUAUCAAAUUUAAAUUAAAGGACUUCAAAUCCAUACCUAUAUCAUCAUAAGCAUUAAGAAUUUAAGCAAAUUAAAUUCUUAUUAUUGCCGUUAAAAAAAUUCAAUUACCGGCAUUGAAGUUAUAAUUUGAGCAGUUUCCUAUAUAGCGGCACCCAAUGAUGUUUCCUGCGUUGUACACAAUAGACAAUUAAAAGUCAUAAGAAAAGACUACAUUGAUUGUGUCCAGAAAAUCCUCAACACCUUAUUAUGAUUUAUGAGCUAUCGCAUCUCUAAAAUUAGGAAUGUAAGUAGGAAAUUGUCCCCAAACAAGCGAAAGGAGAGCUGGGUGUCCCAUUAUUUUACCAGGAGGGUCAUAGUUGCACACAAUGAAGGUUCCUCCACUGUUGCAGGUCACAUUAGCACACCCUAAGCGAAGCGAGUCUUGCCAAACCACCUGAGUAUAGUGCCCACACUGCUUGCCUGCAGCACAAGAAUUAGAAUUGUAAUCGUAGAAGGCCUUCUCGUCAACCCACAGUUUCACAGCAUCUUUGCCUGAAAGGUCACCGCUGCUUUUCGCAAGGUUCUCCCCGUAAGGACGAUUGCUGGAAUGCACAAGAUUGCAGUCACCGGCCCGUUGACUAGCAUAGUUUUGUGCAAAGGCUGCCACUUUGUUGUCCCAAGUCAUAGGUCCAACACCCACAGCUGCUCGUGCUUGGUUAUGGGCAUUAAGGUAGUCUUGUGGUGAGUCUUGGGCAUUCAAGGGUAGGAUUAAGCAGGCUAGGCUAAUGAGGCAAAAGAGAGCUAGUGAAUUCUUGCAGAACACCAUUUUUGAGUUUGUUUAAGAUCUUAGGCAAUGGAUGAAAAUAGAUGUGUGUUUCUCUUGGAAUUUAUAGGGAUGAGGGUGUGGAAAUUUUUGUGAAGGAUUUGGAAAACUUAUCAAGAAAUUGGUAAUGACUUGAGAAACUGGGCUUGUUCUAAAGCUAUGCGUACCAUGGAAAAGUCAUUGGGGCAGAGUGGACACGGAAUUAAA